Molecule: ribosomal RNA, 409 nt
Filed under: Verrucomicrobiota bacterium
Lineage: Bacteria; Pseudomonadati; Verrucomicrobiota
Description: Verrucomicrobia bacterium partial 16S ribosomal RNA
Rfam family: Bacterial small subunit ribosomal RNA
Source: RNAcentral
UGGGGAAUAUUGCACAAUGGGCGCAAGCCUGAUGCAGCGACGCCGCGUGAGGGAUGACGGCCUUCGGGUUGUAAACCUCUUUCAGCUCCGACGAAGCGCAAGUGACGGUAGGAGCAGAAGAAGCACCGGCCAACUACGUGCCAGCAGCCGCGGUAAUACGUAGGGUGCAAGCGUUGUCCGGAAUUACUGGGCGUAAAGAGCUCGUAGGCGGUUUGUCGCGUCGUCUGUGAAAUUCUGCAGCUUAACUGCAGGCGUGCAGGCGAUACGGGCAGACUUGAGUACUACAGGGGAGACUGGAAUUCCUGGUGUAGCGGUGAAAUGCGCAGAUAUCAGGAGGAACACCGGUGGCGAAGGCGGGUCUCUGGGUAGUAACUGACGCUGAGGCACGAAAGCGUGGGGAGCAAACAGG